CGAACGAAGCAAUUAAAGGAAGUUUUCGGAUGGAAUUUGAUUGACUGAGUGGCGGACGGGUGAGUAACGCGUGGAUAACCUGCCUCACACUGGGGGAUAACAGUUAGAAAUGACUGCUAAUACCGCAUAAGCGCACAGUACCGCAUGGUACGGUGUGAAAAACUCCGGUGGUGUGAGAUGGAUCCGCGUCUGAUUAGCCAGUUGGCGGGGUAACGGCCCACCAAAGCGACGAUCAGUAGCCGACCUGAGAGGGUGACCGGCCACAUUGGGACUGAGACACGGCCCAAACUCCUACGGGAGGCAGCAGUGGGGAAUAUUGCACAAUGGGCGAAAGCCUGAUGCAGCGACGCCGCGUGAGUGAAGAAGUAUUUCGGUAUGUAAAGCUCUAUCAGCAGGGAAGAAAAUGACGGUACCUGACUAAGAAGCCCCGGCUAACUACGUGCCAGCAGCCGCGGUAAUACGUAGGGGGCAAGCGUUAUCCGGAUUUACUGGGUGUAAAGGGAGCGUAGACGGCGAAGCAAGUCUGAAGUGAAAACCCAGGGCUCAACCCUGGGACUGCUUUGGAAACUGUUUUGCUAGAGUGUCGGAGAGGUAAGUGGAAUUCCUAGUGUAGCGGUGAAAUGCGUAGAUAUUAGGAGGAACACCAGUGGCGAAGGCGGCUUACUGGACG
RNAcentral lists this ribosomal RNA (670 nucleotides) under uncultured Lachnospiraceae bacterium. RNAcentral's name for it is "bacterial SSU rRNA". It matches the Rfam family "Bacterial small subunit ribosomal RNA", at positions 58 to 735 of the family's 1533-position model. The record is from RNAcentral. Lineage: Bacteria; Bacillati; Bacillota; Clostridia; Lachnospirales; Lachnospiraceae.